Molecule: non-coding RNA, 527 nt
Organism: Podarcis lilfordi (Lilford's wall lizard)
Lineage: Eukaryota; Metazoa; Chordata; Lepidosauria; Squamata; Lacertidae
Source: the annotation of a GenBank genome assembly
CCUGAGGUACCACUGUAUUUAGAAAAAUCCUCUGAGUUGGAACCCUAGGCUCAGCCCUUGUAGGUUUCCUUGGUGAUUAACUUGCAGUGCUGCCCCUGAAUCCUCUGGCCUUGUUCUCACAUCAUAGUAAGCCAAACUGUGGUUUAUUGGGACCAUUUGAAUGUUGGGGAGAGGAGUUCACGGCUACUGUGCUGCUCCACAGUCUCUCUUGCUCCCAUGCCACACUGGCCUAGGCUAAAGUUUGACAUAACAUGCCGUGUGAACCCAGGCUUGCAGUUAAGCUCUCUUCUCUCUAAUAGCAAGCUGUCAACAAGACUCGUUCUUGGCUAAAACUUGUAGAGGAAAAGCUCUGAAAUGUACUUUAAGAGAAGAUGGAAUAAUUUAUGGUUCAGAGAAGCUGUUUCCAGUUCUCCAGACUCUCUACUUCACAAUUUGAUAAAAUGAAUACUUAUCUUAUUUGUUCACAAUAUGCAAUUUGCUCCUAUAAAACCUUUCUAAAAUAUAUUAAUAUAAAGGUAAAAUAAUCC